GUCUGGGUGGCGUAAUUGGUAGCCGCGCGAGACUUAAAAUUUCGUGGUCGCAAGACCGUGCGGGUUCGAUCCCCGCCCCAGACA
RNAcentral lists this transfer RNA (84 nucleotides) under Candidatus Kaiserbacteria bacterium CG10_big_fil_rev_8_21_14_0_10_47_16. RNAcentral describes it as "tRNA-Leu". It matches the Rfam family "tRNA". Rfam says of the family: Transfer RNA (tRNA) molecules are approximately 80 nucleotides in length. Lineage: Bacteria; Candidatus Kaiseribacteriota. The record is from RNAcentral.